GGGGAAUUUUGGACAAUGGGCGAAAGCCUGAUCCAGCCAUGCCGCGUGAGUGAAGAAGGCCUUCGGGUUGUAAAGCUCUUUUAGUCGGAAAGAAAGAGUUGCAAUGAAUAAUUGUGAUUUAUGACGGUACCGACAGAAAAAGCACCGGCUAACUACGUGCCAGCAGCCGCGGUAAUAAGUAGGGUGCGAGCGUUAAUCGGAAUUACUGGGCGUAAAGGGUGCGCAGGCGGUCUUGCAAGUCAGAUGUGAAAGCCCCGGGCUUAACCUGGGAAUUGCGUUUGAAACUACAAUGCUAGAGUGCAGCAGAGGGGAGUGGAAUUCCAUGUGUAGCAGUGAAAUGCGUAGAGAUGUGGAAGAACACCGAUGGCGAAGGCAGCUCCCUGGGUUGACACUGACGCUCAUGCACGAAAGCGUGGGGAGCAAACA
Molecule: ribosomal RNA, 426 nt
Filed under: uncultured bacterium
Lineage: Bacteria
Description: bacterial SSU rRNA
Rfam family: Bacterial small subunit ribosomal RNA
Source: RNAcentral